CUUUCUACAGGCUUAACACAUGCAAGUCGAGGGGCAUCAGGAAGAAAGCUUGCUUUCUUUGCUGGCGACCGGCGCACGGGUGAGUAACACGUAUCCAACCUGCCCUUUACUCGGGGAUAGCCUUUCGAAAGAAAGAUUAAUACCCGAUAGCAUAAUGAUUCCGCAUGGUUUCAUUAUUAAAGGAUUCCGGUAAAGGAUGGGGAUGCGUUCCAUUAGGUUGUUGGUGAGGUAACGGCCCACCAAGCCUUCGAUGGAUAGGGGUUCUGAGAGGAAGGUCCCCCACAUUGGAACUGAGACACGGUCCAAACUCCUACGGGAGGCAGCAGUGAGGAAUAUUGGUCAAUGGGCGCUAGCCUGAACCAGCCAAGUAGCGUGAAGGAUGAAGGCUCUAUGGGUCGUAAACUUCUUUUAUAUAAGAAUAAAGUGCAGUAUGUAUACUGUUUUGUAUGUAUUAUAUGAAUAAGGAUCGGCUAACUCCGUGCCAGCAGCCGCGGUAAUACGGAGGAUCCGAGCGUUAUCCGGAUUUAUUGGGUUUAAAGGGAGCGUAGGUGGACUGGUAAGUCAGUUGUGAAAGUUUGCGGCUCAACCGUAAAAUUGCAGUUGAUACUGUCAGUCUUGAGUACAGUAGAGGUGGGCGGAAUUCGUGGUGUAGCGGUGAAAUGCUUAGAUAUCACGAAGAACUCCGAUUGCGAAGGCAGCUCACUGGACUGCAACUGACACUGAUGCUCGAAAGUGUGGGUAUCAAACAGGAUUAGAUACCCUGGUAGUCCACACAGUAAACGAUGAAUACUCGCUGUUUGCGAUAUACAGUAAGCGGCCAAGCGAAAGCAUUAAGUAUUCCACCUGGGGAGUACGCCGGCAACGGUGAAACUCAAAGGAAUUGACGGGGGCCCGCACAAGCGGAGGAACAUGUGGUUUAAUUCGAUGAUACGCGAGGAACCUUACCCGGGCUUAAAUUGCAGUGGAAUGAUGUGGAAACAUGUCAGUGAGCAAUCACCGCUGUGAAGGUGCUGCAUGGUUGUCGUCAGCUCGUGCCGUGAGGUGUCGGCUUAAGUGCCAUAACGAGCGCAACCCUUAUCUUUAGUUACUAACAGGUUAUGCUGAGGACUCUAGAGAGACUGCCGUCGUAAGAUGUGAGGAAGGUGGGGAUGACGUCAAAUCAGCACGGCCCUUACGUCCGGGGCUACACACGUGUUACAAUGGGGGGUACAGAAGGCAGCUAGCGGGUGACCGUAUGCUAAUCCCAAAAUCCUCUCUCAGUUCGGAUCGAAGUCUGCAACCCGACUUCGUGAAGCUGGAUUCGCUAGUAAUCGCGCAUCAGCCACGGCGCGGUGAAUACGUUCCCGGGCCUUGUACACACCGCCCGUCAAGCCAUGGGAGCCGGGGGUACCUGAAGUACGUAACCGCAAGGAUCGUCCUAGGGUAAAACUGGUGACUGG
RNAcentral lists this ribosomal RNA (1439 nucleotides) under uncultured organism. RNAcentral's name for it is "SSU rRNA". It matches the Rfam family "Bacterial small subunit ribosomal RNA". The record is from RNAcentral.